GUCCACGCCGUAACGAUGAGUGCUAGGUAUCAGGGCUUUGACCCUCCUGGUGCCGCAGCUAACGCAAUAAGCACUCCGCCUGGGAGUACGGCCGCAAGGCUAAAACUCAAAGGAAUUGACGGGGCCCGCACAAGCGGUGGAGCAUGUGGUUUAAUUCGACGCAACGCGCAGAACCUUACCUGGGCUAGAAAAUACAGGAAUUCGGGUGAAAACUCGAGGUGCCCUUCGGGGAACCUGUAGUUAGGUGCUGCAUGGCUGUCGU
RNAcentral lists this ribosomal RNA (262 nucleotides) under uncultured bacterium. RNAcentral describes it as "partial 16S ribosomal RNA". It matches the Rfam family "Bacterial small subunit ribosomal RNA", at positions 793 to 1055 of the family's 1533-position model. The record is from RNAcentral.